GACGAACGCUGGCGGCGUGCCUAAUACAUGCAAGUAGAACGCUGAAGGAGGAGCUUGCUUCUUCGGAUGAGUUGCGAACGGGUGAGUAACGCGUAGGUAACCUGCCUGGUAGCGGGGGAUAACUAUUGGAAACGAUAGCUAAUACCGCAUAAGAGUAGAUGUUGCAUGACAUUUGCUUAAAAGGUGCAAUUGCAUCACUACCAGAUGGACCUGCGUUGUAUUAGCUAGUUGGUGGGGUAACGGCUUACCAAGGCGACGAUACAUAGCCGACCUGAGAGGGUGAUCGGCCACACUGGGACUGAGACACGGCCCAGACUCCUACGGGAGGCAGCAGUAGGGAAUCUUCGGCAAUAGACGGAAGUCUGACCGAGCAACGCCGCGUGAGUGAAGAAGGUUGUCGGAUCGUAAAGCUCUGUUGUAAGAGAAGAACGAGUGUGAGAGUGGAAAGUUCACACUGUGACGGUAUCUUACCAGAAAGGGACGGCUAACUACGUG
This 495-nucleotide ribosomal RNA is filed under the name uncultured bacterium. RNAcentral describes it as "partial 16S ribosomal RNA". It matches the Rfam family "Bacterial small subunit ribosomal RNA", at positions 28 to 507 of the family's 1533-position model. The record is from RNAcentral.